AUAAGGGUGGGGUAUGGGGUUAUAAAUAAGGGAUAGAUCUAAGCAUGAAGUGAUUGAUUUUUCAUUACCCUUUCUCUCUUCAUCUUGCCACCCAAAAGAAGAGCUUCUCCUCUUCUUGGUGCCACCCAAGAGGAAGACCCUGUUCUUCCUCCCUCGUCCAUCAUCUCAUUCAUCGUUUUCUUCCUGAUAUUUUGAGAACAAAAGCAGAAGAAGUCAUAUUUAGUUUGAUGGGAGAA
RNAcentral lists this long non-coding RNA (236 nucleotides) under Elaeis guineensis (African oil palm). Its description in RNAcentral is "long non-coding RNA (EGUI_LNC007498)". The record is from RNAcentral. Lineage: Eukaryota; Viridiplantae; Streptophyta; Magnoliopsida; Arecales; Arecaceae.